GCCGGUCAAUGGACCGGGCCCAGUUUCGGGAUCUCACAUCCUCCACCCCUUAAAAGAAAUUUCGUCCACGAAAUUUUCGUACAUGCAGUUCAAGAGUAGAGAAUACUUCUUCCAAAUCAAGUCAUAACACUUUUCAAAUCAAAGUCGUCUUUUUGAUCAAUAUCAAAUAAUUCCAUUCACCACACUUUCUCUGCACACACUGAUUUAAACCUCAACAUACUCGUGUCAAGUCUAGAUUUUUUUUUUUUUGUAGAAUUACUUGCUUAUUGGUACAUUCAUUUUUAUGUCUUCAUCCGUGUGAACACUUUCGAAAUUUAAAAGUUUAUAUUCUUCUUUUGACAAUUAAUCAAAAAAAAAAUUAUGUAACUAUUUAAUCCUUUCUAGCAGCAUAAUGAGUUGUCUAACAAAGAUCAGUGGGCAUGGCUAAACAAUAAAUAUAAAUAAAUAUUGGGACUAGAUUAAUACCUGCCGUCAACACAUCAGAAGCCUGUGCAUCUUGCUGUGUAAGUGCAAUUACUCUUCCUU
Molecule: long non-coding RNA, 525 nt
Filed under: Phoenix dactylifera (date palm)
Lineage: Eukaryota; Viridiplantae; Streptophyta; Magnoliopsida; Arecales; Arecaceae
Description: long non-coding RNA (PDAC_LNC022144)
Source: RNAcentral